AGUCUGCAACUCGACUACAUGAAGCUGGAAUCGCAGUAAUCGCGAAUCAGAAUGUCGCGGUGAAUACGUUCCCGGGUCUUGUACACACCGCCCGUCACACCAUGGGAGUUGACAACGCCCGAAGUCAGUGACCCAACCGCAAGGAGGGAGCUGCCGAAGGCGGGGUUGAUAACUGGGGUGAAGUCGUAACAAGGUAGC
This 198-nucleotide ribosomal RNA is filed under the name uncultured bacterium. RNAcentral's name for it is "partial 16S ribosomal RNA". It matches the Rfam family "Bacterial small subunit ribosomal RNA", at positions 1302 to 1500 of the family's 1533-position model. The record is from RNAcentral.